RNAcentral lists this ribosomal RNA (405 nucleotides) under uncultured bacterium. RNAcentral's name for it is "partial 16S ribosomal RNA". It matches the Rfam family "Bacterial small subunit ribosomal RNA", at positions 29 to 526 of the family's 1533-position model. The record is from RNAcentral.
AUUGAACGCUGGCGGCAGGCUUAACACAUGCAAGUCGAGCGAGCGGCGGACGGGUGAGUAAUGUCUGGGAAACUGCCUGAUGGAGGGGGAUAACUACUGGAAACGGUAGCUAAUACCGCAUACCAUCCGAUGUUCCCAGAUGGGAUUAGCUAGUAGGUGGGGUAAUGGCUCACCUAGGCGACGAUCCCUAGCUGGUCUGAGAGGAUGACCAGCCACACGGGAACGGAGAAACGGUCCAGACCCCUAGGGGGGGCAGCAGGGGGGAAUAUUGCAAAAUGGGCGAAAGCCUGAUGCAGCCAUGCCGCGUGUGGGAAGAAGGCCUUCGGGUUGUAAAGCACUUUCAGCGAGGAGGCGUUACUCGCAGAAGAAGCACCGGCUAACUCCGUGCCAGCAGCCGCGUAAUAC